RNAcentral lists this ribosomal RNA (449 nucleotides) under uncultured bacterium. RNAcentral describes it as "partial 16S ribosomal RNA". It matches the Rfam family "Bacterial small subunit ribosomal RNA", at positions 29 to 523 of the family's 1533-position model. The record is from RNAcentral.
AAUGAACGCUGGCGGCAUGCCUAACACAUGCAAGUCGAACGAGACCUUCGGGUCUGGUGGCGCACGGGUGCGUAACGCGUGGGAAUCUGCCCUUGGGUUCGGAAUAACUCGCCGAAAGGCGUGCUAAUACCGGAUGAUGACGUAAGUCCAAAGAUUUAUCGCCCAAGGAUGAGCCCGCGUAGGAUUAGCUAGUCGGUGGGGUAAAGGCCCACCAAGGCGACGAUCCUUAGCUGGUCUGAGAGGAUGAUCAGCCACACUGGGACUGAGACACGGCCCAGACUCCUACGGGAGGCAGCAGUGGGGAAUAUUGGACAAUGGGCGAAAGCCUGAUCCAGCAAUGCCGCGUGAGUGAUGAAGGCCUUAGGGUUGUAAAGCUCUUUUACCCGGGAUGAUAAUGACAGUACCGGGAGAAUAAGCCCCGGCUAACUCCGUGCCAGCAGCCGCCGUAA